Glycine soja is the source of this 499-nucleotide long non-coding RNA. RefSeq lists it as uncharacterized. The record is from RefSeq and is a predicted model, not a curated record. The transcript is spliced from 3 exons. NCBI's taxonomy places the organism in Eukaryota, Viridiplantae, Streptophyta, Magnoliopsida, Fabales, Fabaceae.
AAGAAUUUGUAAAUGGCUUUGUUCAUCAAAAUGGCAUCACUGUCAUAACCCACAAUCCCCCCAAAGGUAUUUUCUUUUUCUUCUGAAUCUUCUUUUCUUUUCCUUUUAUUCUUUUUGUUUCUUCCUUCAUGCAGGCGAUUCCGACUCCAUGCCCGCAAGUUGCUGAGGACGAGUUUUUACCGCAACACAUUCACCUCAGGUAUUUCCUUCUUUUUUUUCUUUCACGACAGCUUCGUAUCUAAUUUUUUUUAACCUUCCUUUUCUCUGCGAGUAUUUUUCGCUAUGGCCGAAGAAUUUGUGAAUGGCUUUGUUCAUCAAAACGGCAUCGCUGUCAUAACCCAUAAUCCCCCCAAAGGUGAUGGGGAGAAAAAGACCAAAAUUUGGAUAAUAUUGGCUGUUGUGGUGGGGCUGAUCUGCCUUGGAAUCCAUAUAUUUCUGGUAUGGAGGUUUAAGAGAAAACCUAAAGCAAUUUCAUCAGCUUUUGGUUAUAACAACAAUA